RNAcentral lists this ribosomal RNA (468 nucleotides) under uncultured bacterium. RNAcentral's name for it is "partial 16S ribosomal RNA". It matches the Rfam family "Bacterial small subunit ribosomal RNA", at positions 28 to 507 of the family's 1533-position model. The record is from RNAcentral.
GACGAACGCUGGCGGCGUGCUUAACACAUGCAAGUCGAACGGAAAGGCCCUGCUUUUGUGGGGUGCUCGCGUGGCGAACGGGUGAGUAACACGUGAGUAACCUGCCCUUGACUUUGGGAUAACUUCAGGAAACUGGGGCUAAUACCGGAUAGGAGCUCCUGCUGCAUGGGGGUGGUUGGCAAGUUUCGGCGGUUGGGGAUGGACUCGCGGCUUAUCAGCUUGUUGUUGGGGUAGUGGCUUACCCAGGCUUUGACGGGUAGCCGGCCUGGGCGGGUGACCGGCCACAUUGGGCCUGAGCUGCGGCCCAGACUCCUCCGCGACGCAGAAGUGGGGAAUGUUGUCCAAUGGGCGGAAGCCUGAUGCAGCAACGCCGCGUGCGGGAUGACGGCCUUCGGGUUGUAAUCCGCUUUCGCCUGUGACGAAGCGUGAGUGACGGUAAUGGGUAAAGAAGCACCGGCUAACUACGUG